This 387-nucleotide unclassified non-coding RNA is filed under the name soil metagenome. RNAcentral's name for it is "partial contains 5.8S ribosomal RNA, internal transcribed spacer 2, and large subunit ribosomal RNA". The stretch from base 1 to 120 matches the Rfam family "5.8S ribosomal RNA", at positions 35 to 154 of the family's 154-position model. The record is from RNAcentral.
GAUGAAGAACGUAGCGAAAUGCGAUAAGUAAUGUGAAUUGCAGAAUUCAGUGAAUCAUCGAAUCUUUGAACGCACCUUGCACCCUUUGGUAUUCCGAAGGGUAUGCUCGUUUGAGUGUCAUUGUACUCUCACACUUCUCAUUCCUUUCGGGAUUGGGAGCGGUGGACUUGGGUGUUGCUGCUUUAGUUGUGGCUCACCUCAAAUAAGUUAGUGCAACUCUUGGUUGGACAUAGUACGGCGUGAUAAGUGUCUUCGCCGGCGCCUCUGUAAGGAGGGUGGCCGAUCGGGAGCUCUGUGCUUCAAACCGUCUUCGGACAAUCUUUGACAACUUGACCUCAAAUCGAGUAGGACUACCCGCUGAACUUAAGCAUAUCAAUAAGCGGAGGA